Molecule: ribosomal RNA, 143 nt
Filed under: uncultured eukaryote
Lineage: Eukaryota
Description: partial 18S ribosomal RNA
Rfam family: Eukaryotic small subunit ribosomal RNA
Source: RNAcentral
UGGUGGAGUGAUUUGUCUGGUUAAUUCCGUUAACGAACGAGACCCCUGCCUGCUAAAUAGCCGCGCGAGUGAUCUUCACUGGCGUUUUGGCUUCUUAGAGGGACGUGCAUUCGACUAGUUGCAGGAAGAUAGGGGCAAUAACA